GGAAGGGUUCAUUGCGGAAUUAACCCAUUUGAUGCGCUAAGGCACGGGUCGGGUCUGGAAAUGGGCAGACGCGCGGAUCCUCUUGCCCUUAAACGCCACCGUUUCUUAAAUCAGCCUCUAUAAACCCUUUUUUUUUUUAUUAGCCCUUAACACACCUCCCCCCCCCCCCCCUUUUAUUUGAAAUGAGCCUGCAUGCUGCUAGGGCUUCAUUCAGCAGCCGCCAAACCCACCAUUUGAUUUGGUGGUCGACAGUGCGCAAGCGGAGGCCGGAUCCUGCUGAAGAAAAGCUCGCCCGCGGUGGUUCGGUGACUUUACUUCCCCUUUCCUUUUUCUUUUAACAAAAAAAAAAAAACUUAAGAUCCUACGCUAUUCUAUCAAACAAGCGAAAUACAACAACGAAAAAAACAAAGAAAAACAACCCUCGCCCGAAUCACCAUAUUUUCGAAACAGAUGGGCUUUCAUCGGUGUUUUUUCGAGUGUUCAUUUCGUUUGUGUUAAUAUCAUAAGGAAAAUGAGAAGAAAGAUGAAAAAGGGUACGGGUGCACGCUGGCGUGUGUACGGGAGCGUGUGCUGGCGUACGGGGUGUGGGCGUGGUGCCAGGAGGAGUGUACGGGGUUGCUGCGGCGCAGGCCAAGGCUGCUAGGGUUUCUUCCUUGGCUCUUGUUUUAGACAUUGGGCCUAUUGGGCCUGUAUUUGGGUCCUGGGUUUUAAAAAUAGGCCUAGGUUAUGUAAUUGGGUUUGGGCUAUGUAAUUGGACUUUAAACAUUUAAUGGACUGUUAUAAUUUUAUUUA
Gossypium arboreum is the source of this 792-nucleotide long non-coding RNA. RefSeq lists it as uncharacterized. Lineage: Eukaryota; Viridiplantae; Streptophyta; Magnoliopsida; Malvales; Malvaceae. The transcript is spliced from 2 exons. The record is from RefSeq and is a predicted model, not a curated record.